This 73-nucleotide transfer RNA is filed under the name Crassvirales sp. RNAcentral's name for it is "tRNA-Ala". It matches the Rfam family "tRNA". From Rfam's summary of the family: Transfer RNA (tRNA) molecules are approximately 80 nucleotides in length. Their secondary structure includes four short double-helical elements and three loops (D, anti-codon, and T loops). Lineage: Duplodnaviria; Heunggongvirae; Uroviricota; Caudoviricetes; Crassvirales. The record is from RNAcentral.
GGGGAUAGUGGUGUAAUUGGUAACAUAUUUCCUUUGCAAGGAAAUGUUUAGAGUUCGAGUCUCUCUGUCUCCA